Molecule: ribosomal RNA, 468 nt
Filed under: uncultured bacterium
Lineage: Bacteria
Description: partial 16S ribosomal RNA
Rfam family: Bacterial small subunit ribosomal RNA
Source: RNAcentral
GACGAACGCUGGCGGCGUGCUUAACACAUGCAAGUCGAACGGAAAGGCCCUGCUUUUGUGGGGUGCUCGAGUGGCGAACGGGUGAGUAACACGUGAGUAACCUGCCCUUGACUUUGGGAUAACUUCAGGUAACUGGGGCUAAUACCGGAUAGGAGCUCCUGCUGCAUGGUGGGGGUUGGAAAGUUUCGGCGGUUGGGGAUGGACUCGCGGCUUAUCAGCUUGUUGGUGGGGUAGUGGCUUACCAAGGCUUUGACGGGUAGCCGGCCUGAGAGGGUGACCGGCCACAUUGGGACUGAGAUACGGCCCAGACUCCUACGGGAGGCAGCAGUGAGGAAUAUUGCACAAUGGGCGGAAGCCUGAUGCAGCAACGCCGCGUGCGGGAUGACGGCCUUCGGGUUGUAAACCGCUUUCGCCUGUGACGAAGCGUGAGUGACGGUAAUGGGUAAAGAAGCACCGGCUAACUACGUG